AGCACAGGGACUGGAGCAGCAGUGGGUCUCAGAAACUCUUCGUUUAUAUCCUUCCACGAAUCCACAAUUCGUUUGUUGAAGAUAUCAAUUGUCUCUUGCUCUGAAACCCCGUAUUCAUUCAUGUAGCAAUCAAUACUAGAAGCAACAUGCCCUCUCUCUUUCUCAAACUGCAAGACCAAAUCAGAUAAUAUUAGUUCCAAAAACAAAUUACUACAGCAUUCAAAUGCAGCUCUGAUUCAACGUAGGAAUACCUUGUACCCAGCAAUGUCAUCCAUAAGCCUAAAUAUGGUAUUCGAAGCUCUAAGGAUUUUAGGCUCAUUGGUCAGCCACUCGAAUUCAAAUUUUGUUAUAAUGUCUCCCAUGCCUACUAAAGACACGACGGAAAGCAUGGUGUUACCGACAGAAGAUGCCGCAACUCGCAUAUACCCAUCCAUUUUUGGGGUGCAUCCUUCGUGGAACCAUCUGGCCUCAGCGAAGUAGAGCCUGGCUUGAUUCUUCAUCUGCAUGGAGAAAUAUAUAUAUCGAUUCAUUGUUCAUCUAUAUGUUAAAAAGCGAAUGAAAAACUACUUGUACUCCAUGCAUGUAAUGGUAGACUAAUCUUGCGUGAAAUUAGUCUAUCACGACAUGGAUUUGUUCUAGUUUUGUGCAUUGGUUAAUUAAUGCACUGUAAAAUCUCCCAUACUAUAAAUAUUGGGAGCAGAAUUAAGGGGUAAUUUUCAUGCUUUGGCGUACAAUUUCUUUUGCGUAGUGAAUUCGGUAAGAUCUUCCUUGCUUUGUCAGCUCCUCUUCAACUUCAUCGAUAACAUCCAGAAGUGUUAUAUAAAAUGGUUGCAUAUAGUCUGGCAGUUGAUCCAUGCAACUUGCAUCCCACCUGAAAGUUGUUCAAAAUUUAUCCAUAUUCAUCUUAGCUUAUAAUUGUAAGCAUGAAUAUUAUGCCAAAAUUGAUUCAGUAGUAAAUGAUAAGGCAACUGUUAUUUCAGACCUGUCAAUUGCUUCAGUCAAGAUGACGAGUUCUUCGAAUGUACCGAAUGCAUCAUACAUAUCAUCCAUUACUGUUGUUAUCUCAAUCAGUUUAGUCAGAAUGUGUCUCCCAAAGACGUAUUCAGGUUCGAAAUAUAUUCCUGCUAUCCAAAAGAACAACUCCACGAUCCUAUCUCGAGCAAAAGGCAUCCUCCUUGCAAAGUCCAGUUCCUUGUACCAUCUAGUAUAUUUAGAACAAUAUUAGGUUAUAACUUAUCUUGUAUAUGUAUAUACUAAUUAACUAUAAGAUCGAUGGCUUAAUUUACCUUAGAAUGUCACUGAGUUCCUUUUUGUGUAAACACUGAACAACAUUAAAAUCUAAUUUUGCAAGUUUCAGUAAAUUUUCACUGUAUGAAGCUUCAUCUUGAUAUAUUGACAUGUAACGCCGAGCACCUAACCUCUCCAUAGUUUUUAGUAGAGGUCUCUCUACGGCUUCAGUUAUUUGUGUUUUCAGCAAAGAGCUUUUUGCACUUGCUGACUGGAGAUGAGUGGUGGUAAAAACCAGAGCCUCUUCAAGUAAUUUUUCUCCAUGCACCCUCAGAUGGGCCGCCUCAUAAAAGCUCAGCAUACCAGAAAGAUCAGUGACCAAGCUUUUCUUGUAGUCACCAUUAGUAUCUUUGAACUUGUUGAAUACAUCUGCGUAAUAAAGUACAUAUAUGGUUUAAAAUUAAUAGACAUAUAUGUAAGAGAUGAAAUAUAGAAAUCUUGACUGCUUAACCCACCGCAGGAAACAUUAUAUCCAUGUCGCCUGAGUAGCCGAAAACGAAGAGCAACAUUGUACAGAUCACCACCAUCAUGAAUAUCUUGAUAUGUCUCAUGUAUACGUUCCAGGGCUUGAUCUAUUUCGCUUUCGAAAUGGUAAGCCACACCGAGGCGCUGGAUUUCAUCAAUUAGCUUCAGUUGAUGUGAAGAAUCAUCAGCAGCAUUAGUGAAUACUUCCUUCCUCACUACUUGUUUCAGCUCCUCAACUUGUUCUUGCAUUUGAGUUUGAGUUAUCUGCAAUUAUAACAAGCAAAUGAUCAGCAAAAUGUGUGUGUGUAUUGUGUAUAUGUUUAUAUGUUAUAGCAAUAAACCCUAGCCAAUACAUACAAUGUCUUCGGCAUAGUUAGCAAACCGAUCUCCCCAAACGCUAGGUUUAAAAUUUGCUGUGCGCCGAACAACUUCCGGCUUAGAGAUGAUCUGGGAUUCAGCUGCUGGAGUAGCUUGGACAGGCAUGAUUAACUUUCUGCACUUGUGG
Molecule: long non-coding RNA, 2257 nt
Filed under: Fragaria vesca (wild strawberry)
Lineage: Eukaryota; Viridiplantae; Streptophyta; Magnoliopsida; Rosales; Rosaceae
Description: long non-coding RNA (FVES_LNC003111)
Source: RNAcentral